Molecule: ribosomal RNA, 329 nt
Filed under: uncultured eukaryote
Lineage: Eukaryota
Description: partial 18S ribosomal RNA
Rfam family: Eukaryotic small subunit ribosomal RNA
Source: RNAcentral
CCCUUAGAUGUUCUGGGCCGCACGCGCGCUACACUGAUGCAUUCAACGAGUCUAAAACCUGCUCUGAUAGGGGUGGGUAAUCUUUUGAAUGUGCAUCGUGAUUGGGAUAGAUGAUUGCAAUUUUUCAUCUUCAACGAGGAAUGCCUAGUAAACGCAAGUCAUCAGCUUGCAUUGAUUACGUCCCUGCCCUUUGUACACACCGCCCAUCGCUCCUACCGAUUGAAUGAUCCGAUGAAUAUCAUGGAUUGAGGAUGCAAGCAGGUUCGCCUGUCUUCAUCUUCGAGAAGUGAAGUAAAUCUUAUCAUUUAGAGGAAGGAGAAGUCGUAACA